AGCGAGGCUAGAGUCACACCUUGGCAUAGUUGUGUUGUCUUGGUGUGCUAGAGUGCUCGCAGAGUAAACGUCUGUAUUUAUUCGUUGGCUGGUAUCUGCAGUGACCUGGCCAAUCACAAUCUCAGACACACCA
Molecule: small nucleolar RNA, 133 nt
Organism: Nerophis ophidion (straightnose pipefish)
Lineage: Eukaryota; Metazoa; Chordata; Actinopteri; Syngnathiformes; Syngnathidae
Product: small nucleolar RNA SNORA3/SNORA45 family
Exons: 1
Source: RefSeq, a predicted model, not a curated record